UACGUAGGGUGCAAGCGUUAUCCGGAAUUAUUGGGCGUAAAGAGCUCGUAGGCGGUUUGUCGCGUCUGCUGUGAAAACCGGAGGCUCAACCUCCGGCCUGCAGUGGGUACGGGCAAACUAGAGUGCGGUAGGGGAGAUUGGAAUUCCUGGUGUAGCGGUGGAAUGCGCAGAUAUCAGGAGGAACACCCGUGGCGAAGGCGGCUCUCUGGGACGGUACUGACGCUGAGACGCGAAAGCGUGGGGAGCGAACAGG
RNAcentral lists this ribosomal RNA (253 nucleotides) under uncultured bacterium. RNAcentral describes it as "partial 16S ribosomal RNA". It matches the Rfam family "Bacterial small subunit ribosomal RNA", at positions 524 to 776 of the family's 1533-position model. The record is from RNAcentral.